GGUCGCUUAGCUCAGUUGGUUAGAGCACAGCAUUCACAUUGCUGGGGUCGGUGGUUCGAAUCCACCAGCGACCA
Molecule: transfer RNA, 74 nt
Filed under: Candidatus Moraniibacteriota bacterium
Lineage: Bacteria; Candidatus Moraniibacteriota
Description: Candidatus Moranbacteria bacterium tRNA-Val
Rfam family: tRNA
About the family: Transfer RNA (tRNA) molecules are approximately 80 nucleotides in length.
Source: RNAcentral